RNAcentral lists this unclassified non-coding RNA (2573 nucleotides) under Dimorphilus gyrociliatus. RNAcentral's name for it is "pyridoxal phosphate homeostasis protein". Lineage: Eukaryota; Metazoa; Annelida; Polychaeta; Dinophilidae. The record is from RNAcentral.
AAAAAAUGUCAAGGUCGGCUGGAAAAGCGAUGUCUGAAAUCGCGAAAAAUUUAAGCAAGGUUCGUGAUAGGAUAGCUCAUGCCAUAAAAAAUCGACCUAUUUGUUAUGAUUCGGUAAAUGUCCGUUUAGUAGCUGUGGGGAAAACGAAGCCCUCAUCACAAAUACAAGACGCGUAUAACGCUGGUCAAAGAAAUUUUGGCGAAAAUUACGUUAACGAACUAGUGGAAAAGUCAAGGGACGAUGUCUUAAACGAAGCAUGUCCAGAUAUAAAAUGGCAUUUUAUUGGUCAUCUUCAGAGUAAUAAAGUUAACAAGAUUACAACAAUACCAAAUUUAUAUAUGAUUGAAACAAUCGACAGCGAAAAGUUAGCGAACGCAGUGAAUAAAUCAUGGCAGAGAGUAGAAGCGAAAGAUGCUCUAAACGUAAUGGUUCAGGUAAACACUAGCGGAGAAGAUCAAAAAUCAGGAAUUAAUCCGUCAGAGGCUCAUAAACUAGUAGAUCAUAUACGUCAAAACUGUCCAAGCUUAAUGUUUAAAGGACUAAUGACAAUUGGAGCAAUGAACUACGAUUUAACUUUAGGACCUAAUCCAGACUUUCAACAGUUAAUUCAAUGUAGGAAAAAUGUUGCUGAGAAGUUGGGAUUGAACGAACUCGAUAUAGAAUUAUCAAUGGGAAUGUCAAAUGAUUUUGAACACGCAAUAGAAAAUGGCAGCUCAAAUAUUAGAGUAGGCAGUACUAUUUUUGGUGCUCGACAAUAUAAUACAACAUAAAUAUACGAAAUAGAAUACAGAUUUCUUUUAUUCUUUCUGUCUGCUUUUCUUAUUUAAAACCACAAUUAAAAAUACAUUUAACAACGUUGAAAGUGAUAACAGUAAGCAAAAAUGAGACAAAAAGCAAGAAACCAAGUAUAUCUAACAUACGAUAGCUAAAUAUAGGUAGAGUUUGUCCAGAGCUUUUUAGAUGGCUCCCACCAAAUUUAACUAUGUUUUGUACUUCGUGAGUUAUUCUGUUCAAACAACUUAGCGGUUCGGAUCGGAUUAUAUUUUUAGCCUUUUCUGCAUAUUUCCUAUAGCCUUCGUUACUCAAUACUUCAAGAAUACAUUCACGUAGCUUUUGCUCUUGUAAAUCCAUCAAACUUAACUGGCGGCCGUAUUUACUGUUGUAAACUCGUUCGGCGUCCUCAAUAUAAAGCAUCGGUUUACCAUGGAAGAUUGCUUCUAUUUUACUAUUUGAAGAGCCAUCGGUAAUUAACAUAUUCACUCUAUCAUCUCCCAAGAUAUCGUUGAUAGGUAGUCGAGUCCAUAGUCGGACGUUAUCGGGCACAUGUAAUGUCUUCCUCUCAUCAACCCCUAAUUGAUAAUUCCAAAUGAAGAAACAGUCUAUUCCUUCGAAUGUUUUCAAUAAAAGUUUUGUUUGACUAAUUGAAAAUUUGCAGGAAUAAAAAUUAAUAAUCACAAUACUAUUCCCUUCUUGGGCUUUUAGCAAGUUAUUUAGCUCUACUGGAAGUAUUUUGGCGGAAUGAGCUGUGACGGAAUGUAUAUUCAGUACGUUAGGCCAAAUUGGCGAUGGAUUAUAUAAGAAAUAACUAUUUUGUACUAUAAAUAACUCUGAUACGGCUACUAGAUCCUCCCAAUGAUUUAUAUUAUCAUUCUGACGGUAUUUAAAGAGGAUGUUUUUGUGGAUAGGCUCCCGGAAAUAAGGAAGAAAUCUUGAGACGACAUAGUUCAAACGAUCCCAAAAGCUCAUAUGUUCAUCUAUUAAAGGAAAACCUCCAAAAGCUGGAUCAUCUAGACUAUCAGCAUAAGUUAUAUAGGGAAUAUUAAAUCGAUGGGCGAUGACAUGCAUAAAUCUGCACGAGGAAGGACCAUCGAUAAUAGCCAAAUCGAAUUUAUAAUCUUGUAUUUGGCGCAUCAAUCCUGAAUCGGAUAACAUUGCCAAAGUUUCGUUAAAGUAAAAUUGAAUGUUGGUUCUAUUAAAUUUAUAAAAUUCAUUCGUUUGACCUUCGACCCCUUCAUAAGUCCAAGGUUCUACAUAUUUUCUGAAGCUUUUUAGUGUAGUUUUCACAGGAUAAGUCGACUUCAAGACGCCAACAACCUAGUUAGUAUAUUUAUUUAAAAAAUAUACCAGUAUGUUAUAAAACUUGAUUCUUUAAAUAGACUGAAUAUGUAAAUCUACCAAAAGUUGCUUACGUCGUGGCCACUUUUUACGAGAGCGUCUCCUAUCGUCCAUAUGGGAACUGUUCUUUCUGGAACUUGUAUUGUAAGAAGAAGAAUUUUUGCCGUACUUACAAUAUGAACGAAGGAAAGAAUUAGGAGGGCACUGUUUAUUUUCAUCUUGAAGACCUUUAACCUUAGAAAUGUACUGCCAUCUGUCGACGAAACAAAAUAUCCAAGAGAAACGAAACACCUUUCACUUUCUUGAGAUUUUUUUUUAUGAUUCACCGUCUAUCACGUACAAUAUACAAACGUAUACGUUUAGAGAAUAGCUUCCUGUUUGUAUACUACUGUAAAAACUUGCGGGCACGAGGAAUAGAAAUUUUAUAAUAGUUUUACGAAAAGAAUUUUAUGAUAGUG